Molecule: small nucleolar RNA, 135 nt
Organism: Catagonus wagneri (Chacoan peccary)
Lineage: Eukaryota; Metazoa; Chordata; Mammalia; Artiodactyla; Tayassuidae
Gene: SNORA5C
Product: small nucleolar RNA, H/ACA box 5C
Source: Ensembl
CGCAGUCAAGUCAAAUUCAGUCCCUGUUCUGUCAUAGUGGGGACUGGCCCAAAUGAUUGCCACAGCAAGCUUGCAGCUCAUGGGCCCUGGGUCCCCUGCCCUGGGACCUGGGGAUAAGUUUGGCUGCGGACAUGG